CCUACGGGAGGCAGCAGUAGGGAAUCUUCCACAAUGGGCGAAAGCCUGAUGGAGCAACGCCGCGUGGGUGAAGAAGGUCUUCGGAUCGUAAAACCCUGUUGUUAGAGAAGAAAGUGCGUGAGAGUAACUGUUCACGUUUCGACGGUAUCUAACCAGAAAGCCACGGCUAACUACGUGCCAGCAGCCGCGGUAAUACGUAGGGGGCAAGCGUUAUCCGGAUUUAUUGGGCGUAAAGGGAACGCAGGCGGUCUUUUAAGUAUGAUGUUAAAGCCUUCGGCUUAACCGGAGUAGUGCAUUGGAAACUGGGAGACUUGAGUGCAGAAGAGGAGAGUGGAACUCCAUGUGUAGCGGUGAAAUGCGUAGAUAUAUGGAAGAACACCAGUGGCGAAAGCGGCUCUCUGGUCUGUAACUGACGCUGAGGUUCGAAAGCGUGGGUAGCAAACAGGAUUAGAUACCCCUGUAGUC
Molecule: ribosomal RNA, 465 nt
Filed under: uncultured bacterium
Lineage: Bacteria
Description: partial 16S ribosomal RNA
Rfam family: Bacterial small subunit ribosomal RNA
Source: RNAcentral